GCUGCUGCAUGUGAUGAGGACCCCCUUCUUUCCCCAUCUGAGCGACAGUGUUGAGUCCUCGCUCCUUUUCAAGCCAAGUCUUGCCUGAUGCACCCGC
Small nucleolar RNA from Alligator mississippiensis (American alligator), 97 nucleotides. It matches the Rfam family "Small nucleolar SNORD12/SNORD106". From Rfam's summary of the family: This family belong to the C/D class of snoRNA which contain the C (UGAUGA) and D (CUGA) box motifs. This family includes the human ortholog of mouse snoRNA HBII-99 and human snoRNA U106. The record is from Rfam. NCBI's taxonomy places the organism in Eukaryota, Metazoa, Chordata, Crocodylia, Alligatoridae.